Long non-coding RNA from Parus major (Great Tit), 7560 nucleotides. RefSeq lists it as uncharacterized. The transcript is spliced from 9 exons. The record is from RefSeq and is a predicted model, not a curated record. NCBI's taxonomy places the organism in Eukaryota, Metazoa, Chordata, Aves, Passeriformes, Paridae.
UUUAACCAUAUUAGCAAGACAGCAAAAGACUGAGCUGCACAAACUCUUCCAUACUGCUCUCAUAGGUACCCAGGGAGAAAGGGCCCAUGCAGCUCAGGACACAGAACCUGCCUCAGAGACAGGAAGGAUGAGUUAAGAUAAGGCAGCAGGAAUACCUUAGGCUGGAGGAAUUGACCUAUUUCAUUGCAGCUGAGCAAGAAUCUCAGCCCAUGCAGGCCCUUCCUUUCCUACAGCCUACUUUUUUGAUCCUCCUAAAUUUGUUACCUGUGUUACACUAUUAUUUACCCCAAGUUUACUUAUUUACUUUGCUAGUAAAAGCUAGCUACACAAGGGUUUGUGUACAUUUUUUUUCAACUGGAUACAAUCAUUGUGAGUUUCCAAAGUCACCACAGUAUAAUCUACCACACACAAAAUUCAGGAGUGCAACUUCUCCGAAUUAUUCAGUGAUAUAAAUUCUUGGAACAUGAGAAUGUUGUCAUACAUGUGGGAGCAUGGCUACACAUAGAUAACACCUGGCAGCCUCAGAAGACUUGCAAUGGCAAGUUUUUUUUUAUUGCUUUCAUUAUCUCAAUUCUGCGUAUGGGAUGUUGCUGGAAAUCAUAUGAGUUCCUGAAGGUCAGCUCCUCUGCUUGUAAAUGUGUUUAAGAGUUUCACUUUUGGAUUGCUGGAAAAUAAAAGGGAGGUACUGCUCAGUCAACUUUUGCUCUACAAAAAAUUCAUGUCUAUGGAAAUAAUUUUCAUCACUUAUACUAAUUUAUAACUGUCAUGUCCUCCGUUUACAAGGAUAGCUUCCUGGCAUGAAGUAUUUCUUCUUUGAACAUACUCGCCUGACAAAUGAAACAAUCUCAGCAACUCCGGCAUGACAAAAAAAGAAAGCCUCAGCUGCAGCUAGAAUUCAGAAAUAGAUAUGCAGCACCAAGAGAUAUUGUGCACUAUUAAAGGAUUCUUGGAAUGAGUGCAGGACUGGAAGUGAAUCCCCUGCCAUUUAUCAAUCCCCUAUUACUAAAGGCCACAUUCCAGAACUACUCUCAGAACUAGCUACAGGUUAUUAAUUAGUAGUCACUACUCUAUAAAUUAGAAUCAAGGGACCAACAGGAGCCCAGGCACUGUGGCACAGGCUGGAGCCCCCCGAGCCCAUUUCCCAAAAGGUCUCUGUGCUGCCCAUGCCCGGAUCAGCCACGGCUCUGCCCAGUCCCACCGCUGAACCAGCGCAGCAGAAAAAGCUGCCAGCAGCAGUGUGUGUUUGUAUAAACCAGGAAGAGAUGGCAAUAUCCAGGGAAGAAGAAAGGAAGAGGAAGAUGAGGAAAGCAACACAUGAGGUGAUGCAAAUUCCAUCAAGCUUGAAAGAACCUGUCAAGUCCUUAUCCUGCUAUAGAUAAGUUGCUAUAGUUAACUGAGCUGAUCCACCUUGCUGGUAAACUGAAUCCAAUUCAAUUGCAGUGCUGUUUGUAUCCAGGCUGAUGUGUGUGUCUGGCUGUCUCUAGGACAUACAUCAGGAAAAUAAUGGAAAGCACCUGAUAGCAUCAGUCAGAAAAAGUGGAUGUCAAAGGGUAAAGGAGUGGAGUUCAGCUGCAUCUCCAGCCUGGCUUUGAAAGACACAUAUAACCACAGUGCUUCAUGUAAUUUAAGGUCCACAGGUCUCUCCUACCACUGCCAACACAGACAAGACUCCAGCAGAACAGAAGCCCUGAAAUCAUGGAAAGCCAGCAAGGUCUGCAAGAAUGAUUUGCCAAGAGACAGAAAGCAGCACUGAUACUUUUUUCCUUCAGUUCAGAGAGAGAUGCAGAAAAAGGACAAGGAAGUACCGAAAAAAAAAAAGAAAAAAAAGUACCUGAGUCAUAAAAGCUGUUUUUUGCUCACAUGGAAUUAUUUUAAAGUAACUGCAGCUUAAAAAAGAAAAAAACAUCUUUUCUGCUGUGCUUGCAAAAGAGCUCCAGAUUUUCUGCAAGAGAGAAAGCAGAUGACGGGGGGAGCUGUUCUUUUAAGAAAAAUGUCAUUGGCACAAACAGCUGGCACUUAGUGACGUGUUAUUUAUAUGUGCAGUUGCUCGUGUUUUUUAACAGAUAAGAAAGCAUUAUCUCAUUUGUGAUUCAGGAGCCAACUGUGCCUGAGAACUGUCUCACUCGUGGGGAUCUGGCGGUUCAUGCUGCAAAAUGAUUAACACAUCAUAAACAGACCUGGCUGAAUCCUGGCCUUUGUCAUCCAGAGGACUUUACUCAAGAAAACACCAAUGGGAUGGGGUAGGAAGGAUGCACGGAGAGGUGGUCAGCAUGGAGAUUACCACCAGAACUGUACUUGCAGGGGGGCUGCUCACAAAGAUGGAAAUGAAUCCAUUUUAAGGGCAGCUGAGAAUGAGCUGGUAGGAGCUUCCACUUCCAGGGAGGGCAAGAUAAGGGGAAAACCAGGGCAUGCUCAUGCACUGGCAUUCACUCCUGCAGUAAUGCUGCACAUGGCACAGAGUUAGAACAAUUCAUACUAUAGACCAUGAUUUUCUCUGGUCGUGUUUUCCAGAGAACUGGGCUGGGUCUAGUACCCCUGUGAGUACAGGGGAGUUUUUGUACUCCUCUUUAGUAGGAACAAAGACAACUCAAGGUGGCUUCAAAAUCCGUCAUGCCUAGAAGUGUCUCUGCAGCUCUGGAAGCUGGCAGCUGGAUUGAGACCCCCGUAUGUGUCACACUGAACAACAGCUUCCUGCUUUGCCUUUGGGCUUUUAUUAAAAAAUACAAGAGAAAAAUGAUUGUGUCUUUAGUGCUUUCAGAGAAAUCCCUUGAACUUCAGCUGAUGCACAGGGAAAAGCUAUGGACAGGCUCUGACUGGGUUAUUGUUCCUUUUGCCUGUGGACAGCCCCACGCUGCCUUUUCUGUCCCAACAAAGAUCCCUUUGGUGACCCUUUAUGGCUGCUGUACAUCCAGUUAUGGAUGAAAUGUGAAAUAUUCUCCUUUUUUCCCCCCCAAGGAGUACAGGCAUGCAGCUUAAGAAAAAUAAGUGAAAAUACAUAUUUUAACUUUGUUUCUAAUCUGAAACCAUAUAUUCUUAAAUAUGCAUACAUCAGCAGAAACAUCAGGUAAGGGCUCCCACUCUAAAACAAAGAGAAACAUGCACUUUGAGCCCUCAUAUGAAAUUGCAGUAAAAGCCCAACCCAGUAAUUAUUUUCCUUGAUUUUCAGCCAGACGAGGCACAAGACAAAUAAGUCAUCAAGGACAAAUAAAAGGAGGUUCAUUCAUCGCACUCAGGGCUGGAAUCUUUAAUGGUCACCAAAUGAACUAAGAUAACUAAGUAACCAUUGUAAAUAUUAAUCUUUAAAGGAAAACAAUACUCCCAACAACAGGAAGCCUGAUAAGACAUUGGAUGUGGCCAUCAGUGUUAUGGAGUCUCUCUAAUUUCCUUAGUUUUUUCUUAUGCCUGUAGAGGGAUCAGGAAGGGGACCAUAUGGUAUCUCUCAAAGGAAGUAAAUUAACAUUAUUAAUAGCUAAUGUGGGAGAGGUGAAACAGUGAUUGUUCGUUCUAGUUGUUAUUGUGCUUUUGUUGGUGGGGAAGCCUGCCUGCUAGUAAGCUUAAGCACUCAAGCCAAAUUCAAAAUCUUGUAUUUAUAAACAGAGAUCUGAUAACAGUUGCCUAAGCAUCCAUGAUGCUUUGCCAGCGCACGCACAUCGAGCUGAUCCGAAGGGCCUGUGUCCUGGGGUUUGACCCAGGAGUUAGCUCACACAGAGGAGAGCUCAGGCUUUGGUCCCUGUCCCCAAAUAACGCCUCACAAGGACUCUCACAUUCUCCUUUGUGUUGGUUUAGUUUGAAGCAGAAGGACAAGGAUGGGUAGAUCUGCACUACUGAGGGACACAGUUUGUCCUCUGGCAUCCACUGAGGCAGUGGAUCAAGGUGCCACAGAGGAGGUGGGUUCUCACAGGCAGUGGUCACUCUGUGGGACAUCUACUUUUGAGCCCAUAGUGUUGGCACAGCUGGUUUCCAAGGGCUGCUCAGCAGGGUGCUAUGGAAGUGGCAGUAUUAUUUUUUGGGAAGCAGUGAUAACUAAGUGCUGUAUUAGGAUUGACUGGUCACUUGAAUGAAUACAUCGGAGUCCUGGGAUCCCUUGCACUUUGUCUGCACCACAAGAAUUCACCUUUCUUGGGUCUCUGCUUUUUUCUUGCAUAUACUUAGUGGGUUGUAUUUCUUCACUGUAAAUAAUACUGCCACUUAAGUUAUAUGUUGUGUCUACUUGAAAAGGUGAGACCCUGAUCUCAAACUCAUCUGUUUGUCCCAGAGCACCUGAAAGCAUAAAAUGCAUUUCUCAUUUUUUUCAAGAGUUCCUAUUUCUACUUCCUUCCCAAUAAUUAAAGCCUGAGGCAAUUUCUAGCUGGCCUUGCAGAAGUGGACUACAUGACACCUUGCAUGUUGAGACAAUCUGCAAAAUAAAUUUGACAGAUUUUUAAUUCAACUUGAUGAGCACUGAGUCUUCAUACCAAUUGUGCCUCAUGGAAUAGAUGCUUGUGUUCAAGAUGAGCUGCUGUGCCAGACUCACCUCCAUUCUGCAUCUCCCAUGUACCAACUAUAUGACCACAACUUACACCUGCAAGCAAAAAGGAAGAGAAAGGCUCCAUCACUGUGUCACCCUCUCAGGAGCCAAAUUCAGCUCUGGUUAUGAGGAAUUUUGUACUCAGGGCUCUAGAGAUUGAUAAUAACUGAAUUCCAGUCACAAAGCACACUUUUACAGCUCUUAGUCCACUCCUCUGUUGUGCUGCAAACUGAACUCCCAGCCUGGAAAAUUUUCUGCAAUGUGAGCCUAAAGGGAAGUUUCCUUCAACUUGCUCUAUGUUGUCAGUAUAGCUUUGUCUCCAGAACUUUACAAUUUUCCAGCAUGCCUGUCUGCUGCCAAAUCCUUCCCUUGACACAACCACAGAAUAAAAAAAUCAAUUGCUUUCCUCAUUUGAACGUCCAACAAGCCACAGUGGCUUUCUUAACUACUGCCUUCUAGGAAGAAGCACAGAAAGUAGUCCUCAGUCAUGCCCACUGAACAACCAUAGGAAAGAGCCUGAUUUAAUUUUAUCUUGUAUCAGCACAGUAGACCUCUGAUAUUACCUUGAAUAAUGCCUCUAACUGGGUACCUCAGCAAGCUGUUGGAUCCUUCAAAGUGCCACCAUUCCUCUCCUCCACACAGGACAGCAAGCCAUUCUUCUCCUCUGCUAACCUAGGACCUGGGGAUUGCUGCCUCACCAUCUACAUUUAGCCAGAACAAAUGCAAAAAAACCCACAGAGUUUUGGAGCUCCCAAACCAACAGUAACUUUGGUACAGCAGAUGCUGCUAUAAAGGAACCUGGUGGCUACAACUGGGACACUGGUGUUUUUUUCAUAUGACCUCAUGUCGUCACUCACUAUCUAAUCUGUAUCAAAAGAACAAGGCCACAAUGUGCAUACUGUCACUAUUUCCCUGUGCCUUGGACUUCUACAUUCUAUGGACAUCUGAGCCUUUUUUCUGCAGUUACUGUACUCAUCAGGAGGUAUGAGGUUAUCUGUCAGUAUGUCUUCAUUCAUAUAUGCAAAAACUUGCAGGUGAAAAACUGGUGAAUUUGGAUUAGCCUUGAAUUCUGGGGCGAAGUUGAAGAAGUUGCAAACAAAACAAAUACAGUCAUCAGUCAGCUCUCAGAUUAUGACAAUAAUGGGGAGAAAAAAAAUUAGCCUAUUCAGUAGAUCGAUGGAUCUAUUGAUCUGUCUGGGGAGAACAUAAAUAAUGGAACAUAUGCCAAGCACAUGUGAAUAAAAGGAACAGAGUAAUCCAUCUCCAAAUGGCACUUGCUGAUUUGUUGAAUGUAUAAAAUACGCUCUUACAAUCUAUUGAUUGUCAUGGAAUUGGAUCAAAGCAUUGAUCUCCUUGCAUUGGCACUGCUCUGGCCAGGGCCUAAAAGACCAAAAUAUAUGACAAAUCCCAGCUAAGAAUCUUUUAGAUUCUAUUGCCUCUGUCAUUCUCACUCAGAGGGUUUUUGGUGCAUUCACUUAUGUUUCUCCAGAACCUCUGAGUUAUCUUUAAUCAAGACUUAUCUGUUGAUGACAAACUGCAUUCUGUCAUUCAGAUGUCCUACUCCUGUCCCAGGAAUGCAGCUAGAUUAAAGAUUGCCUUGUCCCAGGAAGACUGUGAGAUCUUAUUCCAUUCUCGUGUUACAUCUUGGCUGGGCUCCUCACAGUCUUUGCUGACAGCUUUAACAAGCAGGGCCAUGAAUUUAUUGCAGCUUAAUUUGAAUUUAUCUGCAAAAGAUGCCACCUGAGACUAAACAUUUGUGUAUCAUUUUGCCUGACUUUAGAACCCAUCAACUCUCUCCCCAGGAAAGUGGUGUAUUGAUAUUAACCAUUCCUCUGCUCAUGCUUAUUGCCAUUCACUGAUCCUCUGCAAUGGCAAACAUUGCUCCAGGCUCAUCCUUUCCCUUUGCUCCUGGUGGACAGAUUUAGUGAUCUGAGUGAGGGCAGAGAGCAUACUAAUUAAAUUCAGAUAUUGAAUCUAAAUCAGGAGGUGCUGCAAAUGCCAGGGAAGCAGGGAAAACACAGUUCAAAAGGAAUUCAUAGCCCCUGGGACUAAAUGGAAAAAUCUGUCAGAAUGCAAACAGAAAUGUUUGGGUAAAGAGAAAUAACAUGAGAGAUACUUUCACAACAGAAUCACUGCAAAAUUUUGAUGUUAAAUGGAUUGUAGAAAGUAAAUCAGAUCAAAGCUUCAAGUAUAAUAUGGCAUUAAUGAAAACACAUGAUUCCUUCAUCAUUAUCCUUCAUCAGAGGCAGAACACUUUUCUAUAUUCAAUUUACUCCCAGGUUGCUACAGGCCACAACUGCAUCCAUAAAAGCCAAAGCAUAAAAGGAAAAUCAAAAGUGAUUUCUAAGGAUAAAUCUUAAGGAUUAAAUGUGAGUGACACAGCCAAAUGGAUGGGGAGGGAGUAAAAAUAUUGGUAAGAACCUGCUAGGAAAACUACCAUGGAUGGGAGGAAAUUGCAAAAGGUAUGGGGGCUUAGCUAGGAAAAAAAGUGAGUCAGACUUUGAAAUAAAGGAGGGUCCAGGGUUACUGUCCAGAAAAUGGUGAAGUUGAGAGGUUCACCUAAAAUACAUUCUCCAGGGACAUAAGUAUGAUGGCUGAUGUAAAUCGGAAAGGGGCUAAGGGGUAAUAGAAAGAAAACAUUUUUGUAUUUUUUAUGCAUAAAAUAGCUACAUUUUUAAGCACCAAAGGAUAAAUCCUUCGAUGGACUAGAGCACUGCAGCUGCACCAAAGUCUAUCAGUUUACAGCAGCCAAGAUCUGGCAUACCUACCAUAAUUCACACUGGGUUACAAACUGUAAUUACCCCUGCCUCCAUCCAGCAGAGUUCCCUUGCUCUUUAUAUUUGUUAGUCAAUACAUGUUUUAGGAAAACAGAGCUGAAACAGAGCUUUUGGAUUGUCUGAUCACUGUCUUACAGUGAGCCAUAACUACUCCAUCUGACAAACUGUAAAAUGACUGUGGUUGCUUGCUCCCACUGCUCUUUGUAAAAAAAUCCCCCUGUAUUACUUGUCAGAGAACCUAAGAACAAAAAUAACAAAAUCCAUUUUAAAAACCUC